ACUCUCCCGAUUCCCUUUCCCAUCAGAUCUGAACGCUGGUCUUGGUGGUUGUAAAAGGAAGAAAAGUAAUACUGAAGCUGGCCUCACAUCAUUGUCAUGUGUUAUAGGUCGUGUGGGCUAGUUUCAAACAAGU
Molecule: small nucleolar RNA, 133 nt
Organism: Nycticebus coucang (slow loris)
Lineage: Eukaryota; Metazoa; Chordata; Mammalia; Primates; Lorisidae
Product: small nucleolar RNA SNORA61
Exons: 1
Source: RefSeq, a predicted model, not a curated record